CAGUGGGGAAUAUUGCACAAUGGGCGCAAGCCUGAUGCAGCCAUGCCGCGUGUAUGAAGAAGGCCUUCGGGUUGUAAAGUACUUUCAGCGGGGAGGAAGGUGUUGUGGUUAAUAACCGCAGCAAUUGACGUUACCCGCAGAAGAAGCACCGGCUAACUCCGUGCCAGCAGCCGCGGUAAUACGGAGGGUGCAAGCGUUAAUCGGAAUUACUGGGCGUAAAGCGCACGCAGGCGGUCUGUCAAGUCGGAUGUGAAAUCCCCGGGCUCAACCUGGGAACUGCAUUCGAAACUGGCAGGCUUGAGUCUUGUAGAGGGGGGUAGAAUUCCAGGUGUAGCGGUGAAAUGCGUAGAGAUCUGGAGGAAUACC
Molecule: ribosomal RNA, 366 nt
Filed under: Salmonella enterica
Lineage: Bacteria; Pseudomonadati; Pseudomonadota; Gammaproteobacteria; Enterobacterales; Enterobacteriaceae
Also listed under: 1 other name
Description: bacterial SSU rRNA
Rfam family: Bacterial small subunit ribosomal RNA
Source: RNAcentral